GACAGAGGAGCCAAGCGUUGUCCGGAGUAACUGGGCGUAAAGCGCACGCAGGUGGUUUGGCGCGUGGGGUGUGAAAGCUCUCGGCUUAACUGAGAGAGGCCACCUCAUACGGCCAAGCUCGAGCCCUGCAGAGGUCCACGGAAUUGCCGGUGUAGUGGUGAAAUGCGUAGAGAUCGGCAGGGACACCCAGGGGGAAACCAGUGGACUGGGCAGGCGCUGACACUCAUGUGCGAAAGCGUGGGGAGCGAACCGG
This 253-nucleotide ribosomal RNA is filed under the name uncultured bacterium. RNAcentral's name for it is "partial 16S ribosomal RNA". It matches the Rfam family "Bacterial small subunit ribosomal RNA", at positions 524 to 776 of the family's 1533-position model. The record is from RNAcentral.